GCAAGUCGAACGCAGUAGCAAUACUGAGUGGCAAACGGGUGAGUAUAAUGUGGGAAUCUGCCUUUUGGUUUGGAAUAACACGGGGAAACUUGUGCUAAUACCGAAUAAGCCCUUACGGGGAAAGUUUUAAUGCCGAAAGAUGAGCCUGCACUUGAUUAGCUAGUUGGUACGGUAAAGGCUUACCAAGGCUACGAUCAAUAGCUGUUCUUAGAGGAAGACCAGCCACAUUGGGACUGAGACACGGCCCAGACUCCUACGGGAGGCAGCAGUGGGGAAUCUUGCACAAUGGGGGAAACCCUGAUGCAGCGAUGCCGCGUGAGUGAAGAAGGCCCUUGGGUUGUAAAACUCUUUCGUCGGGGAAGAAAAUGACUGUACCCGAAUAAGAAGGUCCGGCUAACUUCGUGCCAGCAGCCGCGGUAAUACGAAGGGACCUAGCGUAGUUCGGAAUUACUGGGCUUAAAGAGCUCGUAGGUGGUUAAAAAAGUUGAUGGUGAAAUCCCAAGGCUCAACCUUGGAACUGCCAUCAAAACUUUUUAGCUAGAGUGUGAUAGAGGUAAGUGGAAUUUCUAGUGUAGAGGUGAAAUUCGUAGAUAUUAGAAAGAACACCAAAUGCGAAGGCAACUUACUGGGUCACUACUGACACUGAGGAGCGAAAGCAUGGGUAGCGAAGAGG
RNAcentral lists this ribosomal RNA (673 nucleotides) under uncultured marine bacterium. Its description in RNAcentral is "bacterial SSU rRNA". It matches the Rfam family "Bacterial small subunit ribosomal RNA", at positions 57 to 776 of the family's 1533-position model. The record is from RNAcentral.